RNAcentral lists this ribosomal RNA (636 nucleotides) under uncultured Russula. RNAcentral's name for it is "eukaryotic LSU rRNA". The stretch from base 208 to 361 matches the Rfam family "5.8S ribosomal RNA". The record is from RNAcentral. Lineage: Eukaryota; Fungi; Basidiomycota; Agaricomycetes; Russulales; Russulaceae.
GUACAAUGGAGGUGCUGGGGCUGUCGCUGACCUUUGAAAAAGGUUGUGCACGCCCGGAGCACUCUCUCAUAUCCAUCUCACCCCUUUGUGCAUUGCCGCGUGGGUCCCCUUUUGGCUUGUUCCGAGGGGGACCUGCGUUUUUACAUAGACACCCUUUGAAUGCAUGUGUAGAAUGUCUUACUUUUUGCGAUCACACGCAAUCAAUACAACUUUCAACAACGGAUCUCUUGGCUCUCGCAUCGAUGAAGAACGCAGCGAAAUGCGAUACGUAAUGUGAAUUGCAGAAUUCAGUGAAUCAUCGAAUCUUUGAACGCACCUUGCGCCCCUUGGUAUUCCGAGGGGCACACCCGUUUGAGUGUCGUGUAUACUCUCAACCUUCUUGGUUUCUUUGACCAGGAAGGCUUGGACUUUGGAGGUUUUUCUUGCUGGCCUCUUUCGAAGCCAGCUCCUCCUAAAUGAAUGGGUGGGGUCCGCUUUGCUGAUCCUCGACGUGAUAAGCAUUUCUUCUACGUCUCAGUGUCAGCUCGGAACCCGCUUUCAAACCGUCUUUGGACAAAGACAAUGUUCGAGUUGUGACUCGACCUUACAAAUCUUGACCUCAAAUCGGGUGAGACUACCCGCUGAACUUAAGCAUAU